UGGCGAUGAUUGGAGGUGGUGGUGGUAGAAGAUGAAGUGACAGAGAAUUACAAGGUGGGUGGUCCAAGUCAAAGAUGAGAGAUUUGAGCAAGAUCAAGUGCUACCAGUAUGAUGAGUUGUGGUAUCGAGUCAGAGAUUGCCCAUAGCUCAGAGAUCUGUGGAGAUGGUGGUCUAAGGUAGCAAUACAGAAGAAAAUGAUUAUGUUCUUCUG
Molecule: long non-coding RNA, 211 nt
Filed under: Elaeis guineensis (African oil palm)
Lineage: Eukaryota; Viridiplantae; Streptophyta; Magnoliopsida; Arecales; Arecaceae
Description: long non-coding RNA (EGUI_LNC032519)
Source: RNAcentral